GAGGGCUGGGCUCGGGGGUC
This 20-nucleotide non-coding RNA is filed under the name Arabidopsis thaliana (thale cress). Lineage: Eukaryota; Viridiplantae; Streptophyta; Magnoliopsida; Brassicales; Brassicaceae. The record is from RNAcentral.